GUGAACGCUGGCGGUAGGCCUAACCCAUGCAAGUCGAACGGCAGCACAGUAAGAGCUUGCUCUUACGGGUGGCGAGUGGCGGACGGGUGAGGAAUACAUCGGAAUCUACUUUUUCGUGGGGGAUAACGUAGGGAAACUUACGCUAAUACCGCAUACGACCUACGGGUGAAAGCAGGGGAUCUUCGGACCUUGCGCGAUUGAAUGAGCCGAUGUCGGAUUAGCUAGUUGGCGGGGUAAAGGCCCACCAAGGCGACGAUCCGUAGCUGGUCUGAGAGGAUGAUCAGCCACACUGGAACUGAGACACGGUCCAGACUCCUACGGGAGGCAGCAGUGGGGAAUAUUGGACAAUGGGCGCAAGCCUGAUCCGGCCAUACCGCGUGGGUGAAGAAGGCCUUCGGGUUGUAAAGCCCUUUUGUUGGGAAAGAAAAGCAGCAGGUUAAUACCCCGCUGUUCUGACGGUACCCAAAGAAUAAGCACCGGCUAACUUCGUG
This 491-nucleotide ribosomal RNA is filed under the name uncultured bacterium. RNAcentral's name for it is "partial 16S ribosomal RNA". It matches the Rfam family "Bacterial small subunit ribosomal RNA", at positions 29 to 507 of the family's 1533-position model. The record is from RNAcentral.